This is a long non-coding RNA of Mytilus californianus (California mussel), 161 nucleotides long. RefSeq lists it as uncharacterized. Lineage: Eukaryota; Metazoa; Mollusca; Bivalvia; Mytilida; Mytilidae. The record is from RefSeq and is a predicted model, not a curated record. The transcript is spliced from 3 exons.
UAAAUAGUUUUUCAGUCAUCUAAUGAUUUCAGAUAGGUGCUCUAGGUCCAAUAGUCGACUGGGUUGCAAGAAUUUAUGGAAUCAUUAGAUGUCAUCAUCAAUGUCAAAAGAAUUGAAAAGAAACCAAGUGGAGUGUGAACCAAGUAGUUCUGAUCAAGAGU